GCCGCCGAGCCCGGCCUCCUCUGCCCGCCCCCAGCGUUUUAAAUGAUGCAGCUCCUGGGAGAAUUUCUACCGGUCGGCUCCGAGCAGGAAGUGUCGUCAGGAGGCCAUUUUUAAAGCCUCCUGCGGGCCUCGGAGCACCCACGCUGUUAGACGUGGACUCGCCUCGGAUAGUGUGUACCAUACAUAAUGUGAGUGUGCCAACAAUAAACUUGAAAACCAGA
Non-coding RNA from Ceratotherium simum simum (southern white rhinoceros), 221 nucleotides. The record is from RefSeq and is a predicted model, not a curated record. Lineage: Eukaryota; Metazoa; Chordata; Mammalia; Perissodactyla; Rhinocerotidae.